Long non-coding RNA from Cotesia glomerata, 1326 nucleotides. RefSeq lists it as uncharacterized. Lineage: Eukaryota; Metazoa; Arthropoda; Insecta; Hymenoptera; Braconidae. The transcript has 3 exons. The record is from RefSeq and is a predicted model, not a curated record.
UUGAGUCUGCCCGUGGUCUUAUUGUGUAGGAUUGAAAAAAUUCUUCCGAGUCAGAGUCAGAGUAUGAAUAAAUCUACAAUACGAUGUUGGAUGGUAGUCUCUCAUCUAUCUUCAGUUGGAUAGCAUUUUAGUGCACCAGCGAUCUCAAAACCACAACCGAGAGACAUAUUUCACCGCACAUAAAUAUGUGUAGUGUAGACAUACUCUCUCUACCUGGUAUAUAAGCGAUUUUCUACAUAUUGUUUCGUAUUUUACUCGCAUACCAGCCGCACACAUGUAGUUGUUUUUUUUUAUUUUGUUCUUAUUGUGCAAAACUGGUGUAUCGGAUAUCUGAGAAACUUGGAAUGUGUUGAGUGAAGGCAACUAGUGUGGAGUUGUACUGCAAACAGCAUUGAGAGUCGCGGCUGUUGACAAAUUCCUCAGACACUUCCGAACAUCUAUUCAUCUGCACACAUAACUUAUAUAUUAAUACUUUCAUAUGAAUAUAUGUAUAAGUAUAAGUGUAAUAUAUAAAUUUAUACAUAGUUUAGUUGUCCAACGGCACUUGCUCUCUUAUUCACGUUCAGGAUGCGGAAUCAAAAGUUUAUAACUAGACUCAAAGUACGGGAGUUUUAAACAACUUGGAGCUUCAACACCGAUGACAAAGAGUCGCUCAGAUUCACGACAGAUGCGCAUGUUAUAAUCCAUGGUUACUCUGAUGUAAUCAACUCAACAACUAAGUUCACUGGAUUGUUCGCGCAAAACCUCCAAAACAUUAAUAGCUUUUUAAAAGUUAAAAGUUUUAUUAUAUAAAUAAGAUAAAGGUAAGUUUUUAAAAAGGUAAACUUUUUAGCAAACAAGACCGGAGAAGACUAAGAGAUUGGAGUUGCUUUAAGAGUUUUGGUGAGAGGAAACCUGUACGUUGAGUCUUGUGGAGAAACCUGUUACUAAACCCUUAUACAUUUAGCAUCAGUAACCAACAUCAAGAAUGCAACCAAGAUUCUGGACACAUUGGAGAUCCUACCCGGGCUAAAUUAAUGUCAUGAGUAAUGAGUUUACAUUGUUGUGCUUGUCCGAAAGUAAAACCAUAGUGUUUCGUUGUUUGGAGCCGAGCUUAGUCAUCCGUGGAUUAAAUAACCACCGAGAUAUAAACUCGCAGCUGAAUAACUCUUGGAUCUAUGCAGUAAGUAAAGAUACAAUUAUGAAUGCAAGAAGAUAAAAAUGUUUCAAGUUUAAAAUUCAUACAAUGUUUUCAUCAACAACACCAAUGAAGCAUCUCCUGAUCUAAUUAGAAUAGAAAUAAAUACAACUAGCAACCUUGCAGUCACUAUGUGACUGCCGUGAAUU